CAGCCGCCGCGGGAAUACGAAGGGUGCAAGCGUUACUCGGAAUUACUGGGCGUAAAGCGUGCGUAGGUGGUUGUUUAAGUCCGUUGUGAAAGCCCUGGGCUCAACCUGGGAAUUGCAGUGGAUACUGGGCAACUAGAGUGUGGUAGAGGAUAGUGGAAUUUCCGGUGUAGCAGUGAAAUGCGUAGAGAUCGGAAGGAACAUCUGUGGCGAAGGCGACUAUCUGGGCCAACACUGACACUGAGGCACGAAAGCGUGGGGAGCAAACAGGAUUAGAUACCCGCGUAGUCCCUGUCUCUUAUAC
RNAcentral lists this ribosomal RNA (301 nucleotides) under uncultured bacterium. RNAcentral's name for it is "partial 16S ribosomal RNA". It matches the Rfam family "Bacterial small subunit ribosomal RNA", at positions 509 to 807 of the family's 1533-position model. The record is from RNAcentral.